Molecule: ribosomal RNA, 423 nt
Filed under: uncultured bacterium
Lineage: Bacteria
Description: partial 16S ribosomal RNA
Rfam family: Bacterial small subunit ribosomal RNA
Source: RNAcentral
AUAUUUGACAAUGGGCGAAAGCCUGAUCCAGCCAUGCCGCGUGUGUGAAGAAGGUCUUCGGAUUGUAAAGCACUUUAAGUUGGGAGGAAGGGCAGUACGUUAAUACCUUGCUGUUUUGACGUUACCGACAGAAUAAGCACCGGCCAACUCCGUGCCAGCAGCCGCGGUAAUACGAAGGGUGCAAGCGUUAAUCGGAAUUACUGGGCGUAAAGCGCGCGUAGGUGGUUUGUUAAGUUGGAAGUGAAAGCCCCGGGCUCAACCUGGGAAUUGCUUUCAAAACUGACGGGCUAGAGUACGGUAGAGGGUAGUGGAAUUUCCUGUGUAGCGGUGAAAUGCGUAGAUAUAGGAAGGAACACCAGUGGCGAAAGCGACCACCUGGGCUAAUACUGACACUGAGGUGCGAAAGCGUGGGGAGCAAACAGG